UGCCUGUCGAUGCAGGCUGUUCAUAUAUCUAAAUCAUAUGUGAAGAAAGGGCAGGGCAAGACCGGUGCCAGCCGCCGCGGUAAUACCGGCUGCUCGAGUGAUGGCCACUAUUACUGGGUUUAAAGCGUCCGUAGCUUGACUGUUAGGUCUCUUGGGAAAUCUUCGCGCUCAACGUGAAGGCGUCUAAGAGAUACCGGCAGUCUUGGAACUGGGAGAGGUAAACCGUACUUCGGGGGUAGGAGUGAAAUCUUGUAAUCCUCGAGGGACGACCUAUGGCGAAGGCAGUUUACCAGAACAGCUUCGACAGUGAGGGACGAAAGCUGGGGGAGCAAACGGGAUUAGAUACCCCGGUAGUCCCAGCCGUAAACAAUGUGCGUUAGGUGUGUCGGUAACCACGUGUUACUGAUGCGCCGAAGAGAAAUCGUGAAACGCACCACCUGGGAAGUACGGUCGCAAGGCUGAAACUUAAAGGAAUUGGCGGGGGAGCACCACAACAGGUGGAGCCUGCGGUUUAAUUGGAUUCAACGCCGGACAUCUCACCGGAUAAGACAGCUGAAUGAUUGUCAAUCUGAAGGUUUUACAUGACUAGCUGAGAGGAUUUGCCUGUGGGCCA
This 613-nucleotide ribosomal RNA is filed under the name Methanocorpusculum labreanum. RNAcentral's name for it is "bacterial SSU rRNA". It matches the Rfam family "Archaeal small subunit ribosomal RNA", at positions 385 to 1003 of the family's 1478-position model. Lineage: Archaea; Methanobacteriati; Methanobacteriota; Methanomicrobia; Methanomicrobiales; Methanocorpusculaceae. The record is from RNAcentral.